This is a non-coding RNA of Vicia faba (fava bean), 216 nucleotides long. The record is from the annotation of a GenBank genome assembly. Lineage: Eukaryota; Viridiplantae; Streptophyta; Magnoliopsida; Fabales; Fabaceae.
AUGAGGAGAAGGAAAUCGCAAUUGAAGAGGAAAAGGGCAACCAUCAACGAUGUAAGCAACAUCGACAUCGCCAUAGACCACUGUUUACAACCUCCCAGAUUAGAACUCGGAUCCACUCCAACCCAGCUGCACGCACGACAAGCCCAUUGUCCAUCACCUCCAUCACCAUCGCGAGCCGCUGGUGAACCACCUAUGGAACCUCCACGAACCGUUUGA